UUUUUAAUCAGUUUGCAGGAAAUGGAGCAAAGCAGAGCAAACAGAAAAGAGUGGCAGGGUGUUAAUUGCCACCUGAUAAUUAAAGCAAGGCAUAGUCAAGGAACAGAUAUCCUCCCAGCUUUCAGCAUGAAAACGGUGAUGGGCAGCAUCUCUGGAUGCUCAGCGCUGUUUUGAUAACCCUGGGAAGCUGCUGCAGGGAGGGCCUCAGUGACACAAAAGUCUGUGUCUCAGAACACACAUUAUCAGAUUUUGUUGUGGGCUCACAGAGGUGGUGGUUAAACUCCCCUUCUUCCCACACUUCAAGCACAUGUGUUUUAUGGAAGAACAUAAAUUUGUCAACUCAGGAGUUUAUUAUAUCCAGUCAGCAAGAUGGACCACUAAACUUAAGGGACAGUACAGAAAAUAAAGCAGACAUGAAGGCCUGAAGAGCAUAAUGGGGAAAAUGGAAGUUUUAAAAUAGUCAUGGCAAAUUGAAAGCCAAGCUAUGCUCUGGGGAAUGCUCUGUUUCACAGCAAUGCGUGUGCUUCCCGGGCUGUACUGUGGAGAGAAGCAUGCAUUAAGAUUUCUUUUGAUAAGUCCAUGCAUUUGGUCGUGUGAUGAGGUCGAGGUGUUCUUCAAGAUACUUUUAUAGUGUGGUGCCCAUGACCUGAUAUGCCCUAGAAGAGAAAGAGAUAUGUAAAGUUUUUACAGACCUUGGAAGAAUGUAGCAUGGAUGGAAACAAGACACGUUCCUGAAGAAAUGUAUUAUUCGACAAAACUUGCCCAACUUGAGCAUUUUCC
Molecule: long non-coding RNA, 780 nt
Organism: Corvus hawaiiensis (hawaiian crow)
Lineage: Eukaryota; Metazoa; Chordata; Aves; Passeriformes; Corvidae
Exons: 4
Source: RefSeq, a predicted model, not a curated record